UACAUGGGGUGCAAACGUUGCUCGGAAUUAUUGGGCGUAAAGCGCACGUAGGCGGUUCGUUAAGUCGGAUGUGAAAGCCCUCGGCUCAACUGAGGAAGUGCACCCGAAACUGGCGAGCUUGAGUACGAAAGAGGAUCGCGGAAUUCCCGGUGUAGAGGUGAAAUUCGUAGAUAUCGGGAGGAACACCGAUGGCGAAGGCAGCUCGCUGGGACGGUACUGACGCUGAGGCGCGAAAGCGUGGGGAGCGAACAGG
Molecule: ribosomal RNA, 253 nt
Filed under: uncultured bacterium
Lineage: Bacteria
Description: partial 16S ribosomal RNA
Rfam family: Bacterial small subunit ribosomal RNA
Source: RNAcentral